RNAcentral lists this ribosomal RNA (465 nucleotides) under uncultured bacterium. RNAcentral describes it as "partial 16S ribosomal RNA". It matches the Rfam family "Bacterial small subunit ribosomal RNA", at positions 338 to 795 of the family's 1533-position model. The record is from RNAcentral.
CCUACGGGAGGCUGCAGUAGGGAAUCUUCCACAAUGGGCGAAAGCCUGAUGGAGCAACGCCGCGUGGGUGAAGAAGGUCUUCGGAUCGUAAAACCCUGUUGUUAGAGAAGAAAGUGCGUGAGAGUAACUGUUCACGUUUCGACGGUAUAUAACCAGACAGCCACGGCUAACUACGUUCCAGCAGCCGCGGUAAUACGUAGGUGGCAAGCGUUAUCCGGAUUUAGUGGGCGUAAAGGGAACGCAGGUGGUCUUUUAAGUCUGAUGUGAAAGCCUUCGGCUUAACCGGAGUAGUGCAUUGGAAACUGGGAGACUUGAUUGCAGAAGAGGAGAGUGUAACUCCAUGUGUAGCGGUGAAAUGCGUAGAUAUAUGGAAGAACACCAGUGGCGAAAGCGGCUCUCUGGUCUGUAACUGACGCUGAGGUUCGAAAGCGUGGGUAGCAAACAGGAUUAGAUACCCUAGUAGUC